RNAcentral lists this ribosomal RNA (254 nucleotides) under uncultured bacterium. RNAcentral describes it as "partial 16S ribosomal RNA". It matches the Rfam family "Bacterial small subunit ribosomal RNA", at positions 524 to 776 of the family's 1533-position model. The record is from RNAcentral.
UACGGGGGGGGCAAGCGUUGUUCGGAAUUACUGGGCGUAAAGGGCUCGUAGGCGGCCAACUAAGUCAGACGUGAAAUCCCUCGGCUUAACCGGGGAACUGCGUCUGAUACUGGAUGGCUUGAGUUUGGGAGAGGGAUGCGGAAUUCCAGGUGUAGCGGUGAAAUGCGUAGAUAUCUGGAGGAACACCGGUGGCGAAGGCGGCAUCCUGGACCAACACUGACGCUGAGUGAGCGAGAGCCAGGGGAGCAAACGGG